CAGCAGCCACGGGAAUACAGAGGGUGCGAGCGUUAAUCUGAUUUACUGGGCGUAAAGCGUGCGUAGGCGGCUUUUUAAGUCGGAUGUGAAAUCCCUGAGCUUAACUUAGGAAUUGCAUUCGAUACUGGGAAGCUAGAGUAUGGGAGAGGAUGGUAGAAUUCCAGGUGUAGCGGUGAAAUGCGUAGAGAUCUGGAGGAAUACCGAUGGCGAAGGCAGCCAUCUGGCCUAAUACUGACGCUGAGGUACGAAAGCAUGGGGAGCAAACAGGAUUAGAUACCCCUGUAGUCCCUGUCUCUUAUAC
Molecule: ribosomal RNA, 301 nt
Filed under: uncultured bacterium
Lineage: Bacteria
Description: partial 16S ribosomal RNA
Rfam family: Bacterial small subunit ribosomal RNA
Source: RNAcentral